CAAUUCUUAAACCCUCGCGCAAACUUCACCCUCACCCUUCGCUCACGAUUUGACAUCCAUCCUCAAUCCGACCACCACGUCCCAUAUCCGAACAUCGUCGACCAUCUCCAACAGACACAUAAUGGGAGUCAACAAAUCAAGAGCUUAGAGAUUCAAGAGAUUAAGCUUUUACAGCUUCCUUCUGUUUGUCACUUGAAAAGCUUUAGUGCUAUUGUCCAAGUAAUUUCUCUUCCAAUCCUCUCUUUUUCUUUCUUUUUUUUCUUAAAUUUAAUUUAUAUUUGCUAAGUUGCUUGAUUAUUUAGCAGCUAUUUUGUUUUUGGUGUUUGGUUCGUUAAAAGUAAGGUUACUUUUUUUUGAAUCAUGAUUUGAAAUUCAAUUUCAAGUAUAAAAGUUCCUUUUUUGGUCAAACUUCAUUAAAGAAAGAAUAAAAUUUGAAUAACUAUUUUUUCUUCCAUAUUUUGGUUUGGUUUUUAUGAAAGAGAUUUAGGAGUUUUGGCUUAGUUUUUGAACAUGAAUAAAAAGUAGAAGAGAUUUAGGAGUCUAUAUUCAUGAGUUUAAUUUUAAAGAAACUGUAAAUAAAUUUCAACUAGUACCAAAAUAUCUGUAAUUAAUAGUGCAGCAAAUCCAGGAAGCUGAAGAUGAAACAUAGUAGAACUUAGGUAACUGACAGUGGAUGAAAUUCUUUUGCAGUGGAAAGCAAAUGAACUAACCCCACUUGCUCUUAUGAAAUCUAUACAUAGGGAGGGAAGGGGAGGGGUGUUGCUUUUUUUCUCUUUUUUUCUUUUUUUUGUUGGGUGUAACAGAAAAAUGGUCAUAUAACCCUUAAGUGGACUAUUGUCUUAAGUCCACGUGAAAGAGGAGGUUAGGUAUCAACAACAUUUAGAAUACAAAUUUCAUCCUACUUUGCAAAUGGUUAUGGAGAUUCCAAUCGGAGCCAAACGCCCUCGGGAGAAAAAUUGUUCCAAGCUAAUUAGAAGUGUAGUACCAUAGCAACUAUAUUGGCUCUACACCUAUUGAUAGUAGAAAAUGUAGUGCAAAAGCUCCCUGAAAAGCUAUUGUUAACUGUUUGAGCUGGUUUGAAAAUCACUACAAUUGGAAAAUCAACAAUAUAUGGCGAACUUAUUUCCUUUUAACCCUAUGUUUGCUAAAUUCCCUCGGCACUUUGCUCUUUGUCAAUCCAAAAAUGAUUCAAUCAAAGAUCUAUGGGACUGCUCAAUCAAUCAGUGGCAGCUUUUUAAAUCCCAGAAGGCCUUUCAAUGCCACAGAACUACAAUCAUGGAAUGAGAUUAAGAACAUUCUUCCAACCCCUCGUCAGGACGAAGGUAGUAGGAAACCAAUUUGGAAUUUGAGUAAAGAUAAUUUGUUCUCAAUCACCUAUGUCAAGGAAGCUUUAGAGUCGAAUGCUCACUCUUUUUCCAUGGACUUCCAUCGACAUCACUGCUCAAACCUUUGUCAUUUCCAAGAAAUGCAAAUUUUUCAGUUGGUGUAUCAUCCAUGGGGAAUUAACACCAUGAAGAUUUUGCAAAAGAGAAAUCCAAAUUCUUACCUAAAUCCCUACUGGUGCACACUCUGUCAGUCUAAUAGUGAGGGGAUCGAUCACCUGUUUGUUAACUACAGGACCAUAGCUUCCCUUUGGUCUCUCCCCUUGUUUCCUCUAAAAAAGGACUUUGGCUCAUAUUUUUUAAUAUUUAAUUUCUGUAUAUUCCUUUACAAACUUUAAAAUUACAUUUUAAUAUUGUUUCAACUUCAAACUAAUUCGAAUUUAGGAUUAUUGUUGUGGGUUUUAUAAUAAUUGGUAUUAGUUUAGUUUCUAAUCAAAAAAUCAGUUUUAAAGUAAAAUAUUGUUGGAUAAAUUUUAAUUUCAAUUUGAAACUUUUACAUUAUGCUUAUCACUUUAAUUAUUUACGUACUGAUAAUUCAUUUAUUCAUUUAUAAUUUCUUCCAUUCAUGAAUCUGAAAGUUGUUGUAUAGAUUAUAAUAAAUUCAUUAAUAAUUUGAUUUAUUAACGUAAUAAUUCGAGUUCAAAAUGAAUAACAAAUCAAUAUCACAUUUAAAUGAGAUAGAUUUUAAAAACAUGAAAGUAUUAUUAAGAAAUACUUAAAAAAAUUGGAAGUUAAUAUAUAUAUCAAUAAGGAUGCACCUUCACACCCGAAGAAUUCUAUGUUUGGAUUAAAUAAGGAUGGUAGUCUUUUGUAAAUUUAUUUGAAAUUUUAUAUAACUAGAAGUUGAUAAAAAAAUUGAGAAAUUGUGUAAAAAAUUGAUUUAAGAUUUAGAAAAAGAGUGUGAUUUUAAUUAUUUCAAAAUGUUUUGAAUGAACAAACAUGGGAGUUUAUAUAUAUACAUAACAUAUUGCAGAGAGAACAAAGAAUAUUGAACGAAAAUGGUAAUUCUCAUUUAAUUUAACAGGAUAAGAACAAAGAGUUUGGUCCAGCAAAAUCUACUCCCCUCCUCUCAAAUUUUAUAAGAACAUAGUACUGUAGAAAAACAACAGAAGAAAACAAACUUAUUCUCACAUAUAACAUUCUUAUUCAUCAUGUUCUAAUUGGAAGUUCAAAUCUUCUUACAGACCACAAAUCUUCUUAAUCAUAUCCAUGUCAGAAGAAGGAAUCUUUUGAUAAAUUUCGGGGGCACAGUCGUUAAGCUUAGAAAUGGCUUUGCAACAAGAAGGGUGAGGUGCAAUUGGAAACUUGAUAACGUCUGCCACACACAACGUUGCUUCUAAAAUAAAAGGAGCACAUUUUAGAAAAGAAUUUUGUGGUUCUAAUAAUGGACUAGGUGCCGCAGUUGUCGUGUCGGCCAUCGUCGUGGAUGGAGCUAAAAUGGCCAUGCAGACCAGAAAUACAAGCACGAGCUUCAUUGGGGAUAUGUUAAAGCGACUUGGCUGCCAGUGUUUGUAGGAAAACAAGUGUGGAGGCCUACGGAAUCUUCAGUUUUGUUGGGGUGAGAAAGUUGUGUGAAUUAGGAGCUUCUUAUAUAGGGGAAAUAUGGAGUGGAGAUUUUGGCAUCUUUAUGCUCAUUGAUAUUACUACUGCUUUUGUUCAUGUAACUUUCUUGCUUAUGAACUUUAACACCGUUAUAACUCAAUUAUUGUUAAUACAUAUGACCUAAUUAGCUGUUAAAAAUGAGUGAUAGUUCCC
RNAcentral lists this long non-coding RNA (3137 nucleotides) under Cucumis sativus (cucumber). RNAcentral's name for it is "long non-coding RNA (CSAT_LNC000250)". The record is from RNAcentral. Lineage: Eukaryota; Viridiplantae; Streptophyta; Magnoliopsida; Cucurbitales; Cucurbitaceae.